GGCCUGCCCACUGAUUUAAGUUAAAGGGCCGCGGUAUUCUGACCGUGCGAAGGUAGCAUAAUCAUUAGUCUUUUAAUUGAAGGCUUGUAUGAAUGGUUGGACAAAAAAUAAGCUGUCUCGGUUAUAUAAAUUGAAUUUAACUUUUAAGUGAAAAGGCUUAAAUAUUCUGGAGUGACGAUAAGACCCUAUAAAGCUUUACAAUUAUUUGGUUGAAUUAUAAAUUAUUAGUAUUAACUUAAUUCAAUUAAUAUUUGUUUCGUUGGGGCGACGGGAAUAUAAUUUUAGUAACUGUUCUUUUAUAAUUAAUUACUUUUAUUAUUAGGAAAAUAAUUGAUCCUUUAUUAAAGAUUAAAAGAUUAAGUUACUUUAGGGAUAACAGCGUAAUCUUCUUUGAGAGUCCAUAUCGACAAGAAGGGUUGCGACCUCGAUGUUGAAUUAAGGUAUCCUUGUGGUGUAGCAGUUGCAAAG
This 468-nucleotide ribosomal RNA is filed under the name Atypopenaeus dearmatus. RNAcentral describes it as "partial 16S ribosomal RNA". It matches the Rfam family "Bacterial large subunit ribosomal RNA", at positions 1856 to 2569 of the family's 2925-position model. Lineage: Eukaryota; Metazoa; Arthropoda; Malacostraca; Decapoda; Penaeidae. The record is from RNAcentral.